UCAUUGAAAAGGAUCAUUGGAAUCUGGGUUCUUGGAGAGCUAGCCGUUCCUUCAAUUUUUUCCCUCAUAGUUGGGUGUUACGCAGAUCUAUUCCCCAUGGUUGCUCCUGCAGGGAUUCUGCUUCCAGAGAUCGUUAGAUCGCAUCAUGAUCUGCCUUUCUAUACCAGAUUUGGUUUCUGAUGUUGAGGAGAUCUGAUCGGUUGGAUCUACGGCUUAACCUGCCGUCUGCAUAAACCAAAGCCUCUUGCUGUGGAAAAGGGUUGGUCGAACGUUUUGUAUCAGAAACCAACAUCUGACGGUGGAGAUUUGUUGGUUGAUUGAUCUGAGGCGGCUGGAGGUUAUUUUCUCUGAUAUAUGGUGGAUGAUGAAUCGAGGCGACGCGUGAAUAGCGAAGUGGGAUAACGUGUUUUGUAAGUCGAAUGGAUGUGUAAGAUAUCGGGGCAAAGAGGUCUUGUUUGCUGAGGGCUGAGUCCUGAUCUAUCUUUGUCCAUCCCGACCUUUGCCAUGGCAGGUGCGCUUGCAUGGCAGGUCACCCAAACUUAAUAAAAUUUAUAUCUUUUUGUGUUUCGAGGGGAGAUCUCACGGGAAUUGCCCGGGUUCUCCCCUCUGGUGUGCGUUGUCUUUGUUUUUGUCUUUUCUUUUUCCCAAUAUUUAUCUGCACCAUACGUGUUUGAUUCACGAUCCACGUCGUCAUCGGAAAAGCUUAUGCUCACCAAAGGCAUUGAUCUACCAGUUUCAAAUCGGGAAGCCCAAGGUAUAUUUUACAUCAUUUUUACUGGAAUUCGCCUUAUAGUUUAAUUGCAUGAAAUCUCGAUGGAACAGUCAGUUUAUCCAAAUUCGCUCUCAACAUGCACUGUUUAGGCUAGCGGCAAUCGUUUAUCCUCUGAACUAAUAUGCAUUAGAACGUAAGGAAAAGAAGGCUUGUAAGCUAUAUUCCUUACAUUUGCUACUGAUAGCUCAUAUGUUUUGUAAUUUAUAUUCCUCGCAUAUGCUACUAAUAGCUCAUAUGUGAACUGAUAUGCAUUAGAAUUUAAGGAAAAGAAGGCUUGUAAGCUCUAUACCUCACAUUAGCUACUGAUAGCCUCUAUGAAUCUAACCCAUUAACAUGGAUUAGUUCUUAAAGUUGGUCAUGCUGCAUAUAUAUCUCCCUUUUUGAUAAACAAUAGCAAUUUUCUAGCAGUUUUGUUUUGUAAAGAUAGGCAUGUUUGAUGGUUUUUGUCUUGUUUGAUCUAAAAAGGAUUGUAGGAUCACCUACUAACAUAAUGUGAUGGCUUGUUUUUGAUAAUUUCUAACUAAAAAGUGUCGAGCUUUAGAUUUGUCACCGUCUUUGGUGUGCAAAAUUGCCAAUGGUUUUUCCUGAUUUUUGCCACAAAUGCAUUAUCUGUUAUAGGUUAAACAGCAUUUUCUAAUUGAUUGCAAACUUUACCAAAAUGUUUUCAGAAGCCUUUUCUAGGAUAUAUAGAAGAUAAUGAUGCUCCUGAAUUUGCUUUGAUAUACUGGUGGUGCAGUCAUUAAAUUAAAAUCUAGCUGACAACUUGUAUGACAUAUUUGCCCGACUGGAGGGAAUAGUAUGUGAUUGGCAGUUUUCUGUAUCUGCGCACUUCUGAUGACCUUGGCACAAAUCAGCAUUUGCAAUUACAUGAAUCGGUAUAUGAUGUCUGUUCCAAUAAUUGCUGCUGUUCAUGCAAAUAGUGCUGCUUUCCUUUUAAUUGCAGUUUUAAACAUGUAUGCUUGCAAUACCGUUUCACCACAAACCAUUCUAUCAAAGUACAUUAUUUGGCCAACACAGAGUCUUCAUUCAAAGUGUCUCAAAUUUGGGCAUCUGAUCAGACUAAUCUACUCAUUAUUCUCAGACCUGACUUUACAUUUCCACUUCUAUUAAUAUCUUCAUUGGUAAAAUUCAAAUCCUCUGGAAAUGGCUUUCCUUCUCUCCACUAUUAUUAUUUAUCUUGCCUUAUUACUUUAAUCUAGUAUUAUCCGAACUAUUGUGCUAUUAUUGUAUUGUGAAUUGUGAUUUUCUAUCUUACAGUUGUAGUAGGUGGAUGCUAUAUUGUAUGAUGUGAUAGUGUAUUUGCUUGUGCUCGGCUCUAUUGUUCUUGAAGCCCUUUGUUGGGCUCCACUGUUAUAUUGUGUUCCAAUAACGUUUUGUUGGAAGAUUUUCUGUAAGUGUGAUUGUGUGUUGGAAGAAUCUUUUGGAUUUCAACCAUGUUGUGCAUCUUGAGCGGGCAUGUUCUCCAUGAGGAUUAUUCCAAGGUUUGUGGAGUGAAGAAUUUGUUAAGCCAAGUUCAACUUUCCAGGUUUCAUCUUGCAUCAUGCAAGUUAAAGAAUGACAGAUUUGGAGUCUCCUGAUAACUAAAUUAAUUGCAGCAGCUUCUUAGGCCUCCUAAGGUGAUUGGCUUCACCUGCAAGGAGAUAAGGACUGAUCCAAUCUCCAAGUUGAGGUUUGAGGAUCAGCUGUUUCCAAUUUUCUGGGAAAUUGCUCUUUUCAAGGUACAUGUCAGAUUUGUACAUCCAACUUUAAAUGGUAAAAGUUUUUAAGCGGACUACGGUCCCGUGGUUUUUCCCCUUGAUAAUAAGGGGUUUUCCACGUAAAUUUUGUUGUCUUUGUUGAGUUUAUUUGUUUCACAAGAUUUAUUUUGCUUCUUGUUUCAUCACUUCUUUAGAUAAGAAGUUACUUGUUCGUGAUUUGUAUUUCAAUUAGUUCUCUAUUUGUUUUUACCGUCACUACUUUGGGCAUGCAAACAUUUGAGGUGAGAAAUUGAGGCUUCCUUCUCUUUUCAGUGCA
This is a long non-coding RNA of Theobroma umbraticum, 2785 nucleotides long. RefSeq lists it as uncharacterized. NCBI's taxonomy places the organism in Eukaryota, Viridiplantae, Streptophyta, Magnoliopsida, Malvales, Malvaceae. The record is from RefSeq and is a predicted model, not a curated record.